UACCGGCAAAUCUCCAACUGUGCAAAAACAAACAACAGUCAUCAUAUCAGUUCUUUUGUUACAUUUGUGUGAAACAUUUAUCGAGCGGUUUCUAUGUGACAUUUUGUUUCGGAUCAUUUAUCAUUACAGAAAAAAAGGAAGAGAAAAAACGGGAAUGCUGAAAACAUUCAAGUUUUAAACAUAAAUCUGUUAAUUAAACCUUUGAUAAAGUCAUGACGAGCAAUCUUGAAAACACAAGUGAAAAUGAAACAAGAGAUAAUUCUGAGGAUUUGAGGAAUGAAGGACAGAGCGAGGAAAGAAUUGAAGUAAAAAUGGCGUCAGCAAAUCUCGAACAGACAAAUAAACAGCGACAAACGGUCUGCGACGAAGAUCCCUAUAUCGUGAAACUAUUUAAAAGUCUAAUGGCGGAAAGAGGAAAAGAUACGAUAAAAAAGAAAACGUAAAAAAAUGACUUAAGCAUACAAACUGGAGAAGAAAACAUAAAAAACUGAUCUGGAUAUUUUUGUAUUCAUCUUAAAAAAUAUUCAAAAAAAAAGGUAUUAUUU
Pseudomyrmex gracilis is the source of this 545-nucleotide long non-coding RNA. RefSeq lists it as uncharacterized. The transcript has 3 exons. The record is from RefSeq and is a predicted model, not a curated record. Lineage: Eukaryota; Metazoa; Arthropoda; Insecta; Hymenoptera; Formicidae.